RNAcentral lists this ribosomal RNA (550 nucleotides) under uncultured bacterium. Its description in RNAcentral is "bacterial SSU rRNA". It matches the Rfam family "Bacterial small subunit ribosomal RNA", at positions 355 to 896 of the family's 1533-position model. The record is from RNAcentral.
UAGGGAAUCUUCGGCAAUGGGGGCAACCCUGACCGAGCAACGCCGCGUGAGUGAAGAAGGUUUUCGGAUCGUAAAGCUCUGUUGUAAGUCAAGAACGAGUGUGAGAGUGGAAAGUUCACACUGUGACGGUAGCUUACCAGAAAGGGACGGCUAACUACGUGCCAGCAGCCGCGGUAAUACGUAGGUCCCGAGCGUUGUCCGGAUUUAUUGGGCGUAAAGCGAGCGCAGGCGGUUAGAUAAGUCUGAAGUUAAAGGCUGUGGCUUAACCAUAGUACGCUUUGGAAACUGUUUAACUUGAGUGCAAGAGGGGAGAGUGGAAUUCCAUGUGUAGCGGUGAAAUGCGUAGAUAUAUGGAGGAACACCGGUGGCGAAAGCGGCUCUCUGGUCUGUAACUGACGCUGAGGCUCGAAAGCGUGGGGAGCGAACAGGAUUAGAUACCCUGGUAGUCCACGCCGUAAACGAUGAGUGCUAGGUGUUGGAUCCUUUCCGGGAUUCAGUGCCGCAGCUAACGCAUUAAGCACUCCGCCUGGGGAGUACGACCGCAAGGUUG